UUUUCUAUAUGAUGGCGUUCCAAAGCAGUAGUACACUAGUACAGUGAACUCUUCUGUUCAUUUUCUUUGCAACCACCACGAAAGCUUCGUUAUCAUCGGCAACUACAAGCAUGGUGAAAGCUAUCAGAGUUUACCACUUGGCGACCCUGAGGUUCUGAAGUGGGAGGAUGUGGAAAUCGGAGAGCCGUGUGAGGAACAAAGCUGUUGGGGUUAAUUUCAUUGAUGUCUACUUUCGCACUGGGGUUUAUAAAGUCCCCUCCUUACCUUACACUCCAGCCUCGAGGUUACAUGGUAAGUUUUGGGCAGUCAUCAGGUACACCUGAUUCAGUUCCAUUAUCAUCCCUGGCUACAAAGUCCUUGUUCACUUUAAAGCAUUAUAAUGUCACUCGGGAUGAGCUAUUGGAGGCUGCUUGAGAGGUGUUUGCCAAGGUUGCUUCUGGAGUCUUAAAGGUGUGGGCUAAUCGGACUUACCCAUUGUCUGAGGCAGCAAAAGCACAUGAAGACUUGGAGAAUCAGAAGACCAUGGGAUCUGUUGUGUUGCUACCCUAAGGAUAUCAAUUGUACAUAGGUCUUAAACACCAAGUCCAUGUUUGAUUCCUCUUGAGAGGAACUAUGGUUUGUGAUACUAUAACUAUUGUAUGCGGUAUGCCGCUGAAAAUCACAGGUCUUUGUUCUUAAAAAAAUUGGUUUUUUUAACAUCGUGCUCAUGAUAUUCAACCAUAUGACUUUGUGUUGGUUAAAUACUCUUCUCAUAGUCUUAUUUCCUA
Molecule: long non-coding RNA, 767 nt
Organism: Glycine soja
Lineage: Eukaryota; Viridiplantae; Streptophyta; Magnoliopsida; Fabales; Fabaceae
Exons: 3
Source: RefSeq, a predicted model, not a curated record